ACGGCUCAGUAACACGUAGUCAACAUAACCAGAGGACGUGGAUAAACUCGGGAAACUGAGGCUAAACCGCGAUAGACCAAGAUACCUGGAAUGGUUUUUGAUCAAAAUCUAUAUGGCCUUUGGAUUGGACUGCGACCGAUCAGGCUGUUGGUGAGGUAAUGGCCCACCAAACCUGUAACCGGUACGGGCUCUGAGAGGAGGAGCCCGGAGAUGGGUACUGAGAAAAGGACCCAGGCCCUAUGGGGCGCAGCAGGCGCGAAACCUCUGCAAUAGGCGAAAGCCUGACAGGGUUAUUCUGAGUGACUUUCGCUAAGAAAGUCUUUUGACAUCUCUAAAAAUGGUGUAGAAUAAGGGGUGGGCAAGUCUGGUGUCAGCCGCCGCGGUAAUACCAGCACCCCGAGUGGUCGGGACGAUUAUUGGGCCUAAAGCAUCCGUAGCCGGUUUUACAAGUCCUCCGUUAAAUCCAACUGCUUAACAGAUGGGCCGCGGAGGAUACUAUAAGACUAGGAGGCAGGAGAGGCAAGCGGUACUCAGUGGGUAGGGGUAAAAUCCGUUGAUCCAUUGAAGACCACCAGUGGCGAAGGCGGCUUGCCAGAAUGCGCUCGACGGUGAGGGAUGAAAGCUGGGGGAGCAAACCGGAUUAGAUACCCGGGUAGUCCCAGCUGUAAACGAUGCAGACUCGGUGAUGGACUAGCUUAAUGCUAGUCCAGUGCCGCAGGGAAGCCGUUAAGUCUGCCGCCUGGGUAGUACGGUCGCAAGACUGAAACUUAAGGAAAAUUGGCGGGGGAG
Molecule: ribosomal RNA, 789 nt
Filed under: uncultured archaeon
Lineage: Archaea
Description: bacterial SSU rRNA
Rfam family: Archaeal small subunit ribosomal RNA
Source: RNAcentral